UGCCGAUCGUCCAUAGAUCGGGGUUACUGAAGAGGCACACCUUCAUUGCCGGCAGUGCGGUUGGGAUUUCCCAUCCAAGCCAAGGCAGACAAAGCGAGCCGGAGCCGGGCAAGGCUUCAGCUCACCGCCGCGGAAAGGCGUUUCGG
Aquamicrobium defluvii is the source of this 146-nucleotide non-coding RNA. Lineage: Bacteria; Pseudomonadati; Pseudomonadota; Alphaproteobacteria; Hyphomicrobiales; Phyllobacteriaceae. The record is from Rfam.